UACGUAGGGAGCAAGCGUUGUUCGGAUUUACUGGGCGUAAAGGGUGCGUAGGCGGCGCAGUAAGUUGGGUGUGAAAUCCCUCGGCUUAACCGAGGAAUUGCGCCCAAAACUACUGUGCUCGAGGGAGAUAGAGGUGAGCGGAACUUAGGGUGGAGCGGUGAAAUGCGUUGAUAUCCUAAGGAACACCGGUGGCGAAAGCGGCUCACUGGAUCUCUUCUGACGCUGAGGCACGAAAGCUAGGGUAGCAAACGGG
This 253-nucleotide ribosomal RNA is filed under the name uncultured bacterium. Its description in RNAcentral is "partial 16S ribosomal RNA". It matches the Rfam family "Bacterial small subunit ribosomal RNA", at positions 524 to 776 of the family's 1533-position model. The record is from RNAcentral.